GUCCCGGCCUGCCCAGUGAUUCAUUUUAACGGCCGCGGUAUCAUGACCGUGCAAAGGUAGCGUAAUCACUUGUCUUUUAAAUAAAGACCUGUAUGAAAGGCAAAACGAAAGCUCAGCUGUCUCUUUAAUCUAAUCAGUGAAAUUAAUCCCUCCGUGCAGAAGCGGAGAUAGCCAUAUAAGACGAGAAGACCCUAUGGAGCUUUAAAUGUAAAACUAAUUAUAUAUUAACACCGGCCAACAGGUAAAAAAUAAAAACGUAUAAUAUAAUUUAAAUUUUCGGUUGGGGCGACCACGGAAGAAAAGACAUCCUCCGAGAUAAACAAUUUAGAACAACACUUCAAAAAUUAAGACACUUGUUAUAAAUGAUCCACUAAGUGACCAACGAACCAAGUUACCCUAGGGAUAACAGCGCAAUCCUUUCUAAGAGUUCCUAUCGACGAAUGGGUUUACGACCUCGAUGUUGGAUCAGGACACCCAAAUGGUGCAGCCGCUAUUAAAGGUUCGUUUGUUCAACGAUUAAAGUCCUACGUGAUCUGAUUCAGACCGGA
Molecule: ribosomal RNA, 548 nt
Filed under: Pachytriton sp. NNU00271
Lineage: Eukaryota; Metazoa; Chordata; Amphibia; Caudata; Salamandridae
Description: partial large subunit ribosomal RNA
Rfam family: Bacterial large subunit ribosomal RNA
Source: RNAcentral